RNAcentral lists this ribosomal RNA (457 nucleotides) under Vipio sp. XXC-2003. RNAcentral's name for it is "eukaryotic LSU rRNA". Lineage: Eukaryota; Metazoa; Arthropoda; Insecta; Hymenoptera; Braconidae. The record is from RNAcentral.
GAAACCCAAAAGAUCGAAUGGGGAGAUUCAUCGUCAGCUCAUUUUAUAUAUAUGCUAGUUAUGAUAUGGGUUACUACUUGUAGUAUUGCCUGUACAUUCUUGUAUAUUUAAUUGUAAAAUGUUGUCGGCGUGCACUUCUCCCCUAGUAGGACGUCGCGACCCGUUGAGUGUUGGUCUACGGCCCAAGUGGGAGCUUUUAGUGAAUUUUAUUCAUUGAAAACCCUUGGUGUUUCCUGACUGGCACUCGUCGGUAUUCGUAUGGUAUUGAGUCGCAUAUUAUAUGCGUCCAUAUCUGUCGCAAGCGAGGUUAGUUACUGAUAGCGCGGACCUAGUGCCGUCGUUGGUGCUAAUCAGCUGUUGGUUGUACAGAAUUCUAGGACUGGCUCGUUGUGAAAUACCGGUCAGCGAUGCUACUGCUUUGGGUACUUUCAGGACCCGUCUUGAAACACGGACCAAA